Molecule: ribosomal RNA, 446 nt
Filed under: Daphne mezereum
Lineage: Eukaryota; Viridiplantae; Streptophyta; Magnoliopsida; Malvales; Thymelaeaceae
Description: eukaryotic LSU rRNA
Rfam family: Eukaryotic large subunit ribosomal RNA (bases 306-446)
Source: RNAcentral
UGCAGAAUCCCGUGAACCAUCGAGUCUUUGAACGCAAGUUGCGCCCCAAGCCUUCGGGUUGAGGGCACGUCUGCCUGGGUGUCACGCAUUGUAGCAUUUACAACAUUAGUUGGUGUAAGGCUGGUAAUGGCUCUCCCGUCCUCGUAGUAGUGCGGUUGGCUGAAAUAGAGUAACCAUUAAUGUCAUGUAUACAUGAUGAUCGGUGGUUUGUCUUGGCUUACCCUCGUUAAGUUAUCAUGUAUAGCAUGUCAUUGCACUUGGUUGCAUUUGUACUUCAAACCUUUGUUUGAAGAUAGUAUGCAUUGCGACCCCAGGUCAGGCGGGAAUACCCGCUGAGUUUAAGCAUAUCAAUAAGCGGAGGAGAAGAAACUUACCAGGAUUCCCUUAGUAACGGCGAGCGAACCGGGAAUAGCCCAGCUUGAAAAUCGGUUGCCUUUGGUUUCCGA